Molecule: non-coding RNA, 72 nt
Organism: Apaloderma vittatum (bar-tailed trogon)
Lineage: Eukaryota; Metazoa; Chordata; Aves; Trogoniformes; Trogonidae
Source: Rfam
GGUCCCAUGGUGUAAUGGUGAGCACUCUGGACUCUGAAUCCAGGAAUCUGAGUUCAAAUCUCGGUGGGACAU